CUGAGGGGGUAACGAGCCGUUAGUGAUAGCGUAGGGACGGCGGCAGUGUAGAAAGAGGCCCGAACUAGUGAUCACUAGCCAGGCUUAGUUCGCUAGCCCUCGGCACUACAAUGCCCAGGAGGCCCCGCGCGGCGUAGCGCACCUGCGCACUCGGUGCCCUUACCCAGGUUUCUCUCGUUAACUCUCCUUUAUAAGUUUUUGUUUUGGUACUUAAUUGUGUAACUCGACAUCGGGCAUCGGUGUUGUUAAUUUUCCUCCUACCAUUCCCAUACCCCCAAAAGGGAAAAAUUCAAGACAAGUUUUGUAAACCUUAGUAAUGUAGGUAAAUGGUCUGAGCUGAGAGAUGUGGCCUGCACUUGGCGGAUCACCUUGACUUGGAGUGGACAGCGUAGUAGAGCCACAUACUGCAGGAAAAUAAAGUCUGAAGUGUUUUCAUUUCAGAAUAGAUCGAUGAAAACGAAAUCGUUUGAAACGUUCCAAACACAAGUUUGGAAGUCUAGCAGUGCCUUGCCUGGUUGCCAAGAGCAAGUCAAAGACCCUCCUUGUGAAAAUGUUGAGCCAAGCAGGGACAGGUUACACCUUCAACACCAAGAGAAGCCGGUUACG
Long non-coding RNA from Gracilinanus agilis (Agile Gracile Mouse Opossum), 606 nucleotides. RefSeq lists it as uncharacterized. The transcript is spliced from 3 exons. The record is from RefSeq and is a predicted model, not a curated record. NCBI's taxonomy places the organism in Eukaryota, Metazoa, Chordata, Mammalia, Didelphimorphia, Didelphidae.